UAAUACGUAGGUGGCAAGCGUCGUCCGGAUUUACUGGGCGUAAAGGGCUCGUAGGCGGCCAACUAAGUCGGACGUGAAAUCCCCAGGCUCAACCUGGGAACUGCGUCCGAUACUGGAUGGCUUGAAUCCGGGAGAGGGAUGCAGAAUUCCAGGUGUAGCGGUGAAAUGCGUAGAUAUCUGGAGGAAUACCGGUGGCGAAGGCGGCAUCCUGGACCGGCAUUGACGCUGAGGAGCGAAAGCCAGGGGAGCAAACGGGA
RNAcentral lists this ribosomal RNA (257 nucleotides) under uncultured prokaryote. RNAcentral's name for it is "partial 16S ribosomal RNA". It matches the Rfam family "Bacterial small subunit ribosomal RNA", at positions 521 to 777 of the family's 1533-position model. The record is from RNAcentral.